GGGACCGACCUGGCUUCGACGUGGGUGCGGAUUUGGACUAGGGCAUGCCGAGCACCAGUUCGCUCGUAAAACCACUGGAAACAAAGUAACUGCGAACGACUCU
This 103-nucleotide transfer-messenger RNA is filed under the name Pseudomonadota bacterium. RNAcentral describes it as "partial transfer-messenger RNA". It matches the Rfam family "transfer-messenger RNA", at positions 1 to 104 of the family's 374-position model. From Rfam's summary of the family: Bacterial tmRNA, also known as 10Sa RNA or SsrA, is named for its dual tRNA and mRNA-like properties. Its role is to liberate the mRNA from a stalled ribosome. The record is from RNAcentral. Lineage: Bacteria; Pseudomonadati; Pseudomonadota.